Molecule: long non-coding RNA, 211 nt
Filed under: Erythranthe guttata (spotted monkey flower)
Lineage: Eukaryota; Viridiplantae; Streptophyta; Magnoliopsida; Lamiales; Phrymaceae
Description: long non-coding RNA (EGUT_LNC000527)
Source: RNAcentral
UCCUUUGUUAUCAAAUAUGAAAAUCUUCCGAAAUCAAUAAAAUGGCCUCUGCAUAAACCCGAAGCCUUUGUAAUUUGACUCCAAUUACGGUGAACAAUAAAUCGCGGAUCAUCUUAAUCCGACUCCAAACAAAUCCAAAUCGCCAAAAAAGCAGGCAUCUUUGCCAUUGGCAACCGUCAACAAAUCUAAAUCGCACUUACAACAACCUUCA